GUUUGUGGCCAUACCACCCUGAACAUGCCAGAUCUCGUCUAUCUUGGAGGCUAAGCAGGGCCCCAGGCCUGGUCAGUACUCAAAUGGGAAAAGCAAAUUGUUGUGGCUG
Molecule: ribosomal RNA, 109 nt
Filed under: Nannospalax galili (Upper Galilee mountains blind mole rat)
Lineage: Eukaryota; Metazoa; Chordata; Mammalia; Rodentia; Spalacidae
Source: RNAcentral